RNAcentral lists this ribosomal RNA (1123 nucleotides) under Proteus mirabilis. RNAcentral's name for it is "partial 23S ribosomal RNA". It matches the Rfam family "Bacterial large subunit ribosomal RNA", at positions 1702 to 2806 of the family's 2925-position model. Lineage: Bacteria; Pseudomonadati; Pseudomonadota; Gammaproteobacteria; Enterobacterales; Morganellaceae. The record is from RNAcentral.
GGGUGAAGGAACUAGGCAAAAUGGUGCCGUAACUUCGGGAGAAGGCACGCUGGCGGUAGGUAAAGUCCCUCGCGGACAGAGCUGAAGCCAGUCGAAGAUACCAGCUGGCUGCAACUGUUUAUUAAAAACACAGCACUGUGCAAACACGAAAGUGGACGUAUACGGUGUGACGCCUGCCCGGUGCUGGAAGGUUAAUUGAUGGGGUCAGCCGCAAGGCGAAGCUCCUGAUCGAAGCCCCAGUAAACGGCGGCCGUAACUAUAACGGUCCUAAGGUAGCGAAAUUCCUUGUCGGGUAAGUUCCGACCUGCACGAAUGGCGUAAUGAUGGCCAGGCUGUCUCCACCCGAGACUCAGUGAAAUUGAACUCGCUGUGAAGAUGCAGUGUACCCGCGGCAAGACGGAAAGACCCCGUGAACCUUUACUAUAGCUUGACACUGAACAUUGAGCCUUGAUGUGUAGGAUAGGUGGGAGGCUUUGAAGUGUGGACGCCAGUCUGCAUGGAGCCAACCUUGAAAUACCACCCUUUAACGUUUGAUGUUCUAACCUAGGCCCAUAAACUGGGUCGGGGACCGUGUCUGGUGGGUAGUUUGACUGGGGCGGUCUCCUCCUAAAGAGUAACGGAGGAGCACGAAGGUUGGCUAAGCAUGGUCGGACAUCAUGCGGUUAGUGCAAAGGCAUAAGCCAGCUUGACUGCGAGAGUGACGGCUCGAGCAGGUACGAAAGUAGGUCUUAGUGAUCCGGUGGUUCUGAAUGGAAGGGCCAUCGCUCAACGGAUAAAAGGUACUCCGGGGAUAACAGGCUGAUACCGCCCAAGAGUUCAUAUCGACGGCGGUGUUUGGCACCUCGAUGUCGGCUCAUCACAUCCUGGGGCUGAAGUAGGUCCCAAGGGUAUGGCUGUUCGCCAUUUAAAGUGGUACGCGAGCUGGGUUUAGAACGUCGUGAGACAGUUCGGUCCCUAUCUGCCGUGGGCGUUGGAAGAUUGAGAGGGGUUGCUCCUAGUACGAGAGGACCGGAGUGAACGCACCACUGGUGUUCGGGUUGUCAUGCCAAUGGCAUUGCCCGGUAGCUAAGUGCGGAAGAGAUAACCGCUGAAAGCAUCUAAGCGGGAAACUUGCCUCGAGAUG